RNAcentral lists this ribosomal RNA (91 nucleotides) under Schistidium pulchrum. Its description in RNAcentral is "partial 5.8S ribosomal RNA". It matches the Rfam family "5.8S ribosomal RNA", at positions 65 to 154 of the family's 154-position model. From Rfam's summary of the family: 5.8S ribosomal RNA (5.8S rRNA) is a component of the large subunit of the eukaryotic ribosome. It is transcribed by RNA polymerase I as part of the 45S precursor that also contains 18S and 28S rRNA. The record is from RNAcentral. Lineage: Eukaryota; Viridiplantae; Streptophyta; Bryopsida; Grimmiales; Grimmiaceae.
GUGUGAAUUGCAGAAUUCCGCGAAUCAUCGAGUCUUUGAACGCAAGUUGCGCCCGAGGCUUGCCCUCGGGCAUUUCUGCCAGAGCGUCACC